AAAAUCAAUAAAAUUUUCUCUUUAUCAAUGCCCAGUGACCUUAACUGCCAGCAUGGUCAUUCGUCACCCAGGAAUGGAUCGGCCUGAGAAGUGAGGACCACAGCAUCAGCAAUCCCAUUCUUCCAUGGCGGCCCAAGCACCUUUCUAACGUGUUCUUGAUUUUGUCUUUCAUUUACUUGCCAUUUCUUUAUCCUCCCUUUUAUGCAUACUCGUCACUCC
This 219-nucleotide unclassified non-coding RNA is filed under the name Hevea brasiliensis (rubber tree). The record is from RNAcentral. Lineage: Eukaryota; Viridiplantae; Streptophyta; Magnoliopsida; Malpighiales; Euphorbiaceae.